Molecule: microRNA precursor, 80 nt
Filed under: Mayetiola destructor (Hessian fly)
Lineage: Eukaryota; Metazoa; Arthropoda; Insecta; Diptera; Cecidomyiidae
Description: mir-124 microRNA precursor family
Rfam family: mir-124 microRNA precursor family (bases 5-75)
About the family: The mature ~21nt miRNAs are processed from hairpin precursor sequences represented here, in this case originating from the 3' arm. The bounds of the precursors are predicted based on conservation and base pairing and are not generally known.
Source: RNAcentral
GUUUUUCUCCUGGUAUCCACUGUAGGCCUGUAUGUUCGAUAAAAUUCAUAAGGCACGCGGUGAAUGCCAAGAGCGAACGA